GGCCAGCAGCCGCGGUAAUACGUAGGGGGCGAGCGUUGUCCGGAUUUAUUGGGCGUAAAGGGCGUGUAGGCGGUUUGCUAAGUCGGGGGUGAAAACCCAGGGCUCAACCCUGGGCCUGCCUCCGAUACUGGUGAACUUGAGUGCUCUAGAGGGCAGUGGAAUUCCCGGUGUAGCAGUGAAAUGCGUAGAGAUCGGGAGGAACACCAGUGGCGAAGGCGACUGCCUGGGGAGUAACUGACGCUGAGGCGCGAAAGCUGGGGGAGCAAACGGGAUUAGAUACCCCGGUAGUCCCAGCCGUAAACGAUGAGUGCUAGGUGUAGCGGGUAUCGACCCCCGCUGUGCCGGAGUUAACGCAAUAAGCACUCCGCCUGGGGAGUACGGCCGCAAGGUUGAAACUUAAAGGAAUUGGCGGGGGA
RNAcentral lists this ribosomal RNA (416 nucleotides) under uncultured bacterium. Its description in RNAcentral is "bacterial SSU rRNA". It matches the Rfam family "Bacterial small subunit ribosomal RNA", at positions 506 to 920 of the family's 1533-position model. The record is from RNAcentral.